GGAAAAUAUAUAGAUGAGGGGUUCACUGCUUUGUUUGGGAACCAUAUAAUUCACGGCCUUUCCAUUUGUUUUUGUCUCUCAAUUACUACCAAUAUUAAGAGUACCUUAUUUAAUUCAAAUCCUGGCAGAUCAUGUUCUUGACUCUCAAUUUUUUUACUUUUCUGGCCAAAUAUUUUUCUUUCAUUGAUUGCCAUCUUUCAAUUUAUUAUCGUUUCAGUUAUGAUCGAUUAUUAAUGUCAUAUAUUAUAUAAUUAGUUGAACUAAAAUGGGUAGCAUUUUGAUUUUAAUUAUAAUUUUGAUGUACAUGUGUAGUUCAACAAAAAUAUCCUAAUACGAAAUUCCAAUUAUUUUCAUUAGUUAACAUGGGUGAUCAUUCCACUAUUUCCACUGUACUCUUUUGCUUUAGCUAAAAUUACUGUUUUGCCACCUAGCCUAUUAUUGUUCGGCUAUAAAUAGGAGGAAGAUGUAGAAGCCAAAAUAUCCAAAAACAAGAUGAAGUCUUCUCUUAUACUAAUUACAGUUGUGUUGUCUACCAUUCUCUUCUUCUCAUCGUCAUUAGUCCUUGCUCGAGAAUUAAAAGAAGGUGCUCCUAUUUACAAGCGAGUGAUCGGAGCAGCACCGCCUGGCCAAAUUCCAUUUUCUUGUGGCCGCGGAAAACGCUAUUCCCCAUGCGUACCAAAAGCCCCAAAAGCCCCGCCCUGUACUAUCUAUGUCCGCGGCGGCCACUGCGUACCUCAUGGCCAUUGAAUGAUUAGAUCAAUCAGAUCAGAUCAGAUCAGAUCGAUCUACUUAAAUCAUCUCUUCACCUGAAGGCCAUGGAAUUAAUAAUAAUUCUCUAAGUGCUGCCAAAGCUAGCUCAUCAUCAUCAGCUGUGUUAGUGUUAUGUGUUUUAUAUAAAUAUAUCCUCAUCGUGUAAAACCAAUAAAAGGGAGAUAUGAACAAUAUAUUAUAUAGUACGUACUAAUACUAUUUUAUGUAAUAAGAAAGCCUGCAGACUGGUUUUGCAAGAUCGAGUAGUGUACCCACUCUUGCAAAUGCAAUAUAUCUUAAUGAAUAUAAAUAGUAUUUUUGCCUCUUAAA
This is a long non-coding RNA of Humulus lupulus (European hop), 1080 nucleotides long. RefSeq lists it as uncharacterized. The transcript has 2 exons. NCBI's taxonomy places the organism in Eukaryota, Viridiplantae, Streptophyta, Magnoliopsida, Rosales, Cannabaceae. The record is from RefSeq and is a predicted model, not a curated record.